This 423-nucleotide ribosomal RNA is filed under the name Triticum aestivum (bread wheat). RNAcentral's name for it is "partial small subunit ribosomal RNA". Lineage: Eukaryota; Viridiplantae; Streptophyta; Magnoliopsida; Poales; Poaceae. The record is from RNAcentral.
AUGCGUGGGUGGGUGUCCAUUUCCAUGCGAUGGAGGGUGAUCGAACAAGAGUGCAACAAGUUUUGCGCCACUCUUGAGAGCAUCAAGGCCCACCCCGUGAGCGGCAUCGGCAUGCAAGACAUGGCAUUUCAAGCUUUGGAGGCAUUCAAGGUUCAACUCAACGACAAGUGCUUCAACCUCUCCCAUUGCUUUCGGAUCAUCAAGAACGAGGAGAAGUUCAAGGCGCAAUACAUCGUCCUCAAGUCGCGUGGGGGGAAGAAAGCCGUGGAGGAGGUUGGGGAGGGCGAGCCGGCACCCCCGCGGGGGAAGACCAACUCCAAGAAGGAGGACAAGCGGGAUGCGGCAUCCAACGCCUUGAUCGCAAGCGUGGAGGGCAUGAUGAACAAGAAGGAUUCAAGGGAGGAGGAGCGCCGGCGUUUCUAA